AGUGGCGGACGGGUGAGUAACGCGUGAGAAUCUGCCUUGGGGUCGGGGACAACCACUGGAAACGGUGGCUAAUACCGGAUAAGCCGAUUGGUGAAAGAUUUAUUGCCCGAAGAGGAGCUCGCGUCUGAUUAGCUAGUUGGUGAGGUAAGAGCUCACCAAGGCAGCGAUCAGUAGCUGGUCUGAGAGGACGAUCAGCCACACUGGGACUGAGACACGGCCCAGACUCCUACGGGAGGCAGCAGUGGGGAAUUUUCCGCAAUGGGCGAAAGCCUGACGGAGCAAGACCGCGUGAGGGAGGAAGGCUCUUGGGUUGUAAACCUCUUUUCUCAGGGAAGAAGCUCUGACGGUACCUGAGGAAUCAGCCUCGGCUAACCCCGUGCCAGCAGCCGCGGUAAUACGGAGGAGGCAAGCGUUAUCCGGAAUUAUUGGGCGUAAAGCGUCCGCAGGUGGCGAUUCAAGUCUGCUGUCAAAGCACGGGGCUUAACUCCGUAAAGGCAGUGGAAACUGAAUAGCUAGAGUGCCGUAGGGGUAGAGGGAAUUCCCGGUGUAGCGGUGAAAUGCGUAGAGAUCGGGAAGAACAUCGGUGGCGAAAGCGCUCUACUGGACGGCAACUGACACUCAGGGACGAAAGCUAGGCGAGCGAAUGGGAUUAGAUACCCC
RNAcentral lists this ribosomal RNA (660 nucleotides) under uncultured bacterium. Its description in RNAcentral is "bacterial SSU rRNA". It matches the Rfam family "Bacterial small subunit ribosomal RNA", at positions 94 to 788 of the family's 1533-position model. The record is from RNAcentral.